RNAcentral lists this ribosomal RNA (942 nucleotides) under Triticum aestivum (bread wheat). RNAcentral's name for it is "partial small subunit ribosomal RNA". Lineage: Eukaryota; Viridiplantae; Streptophyta; Magnoliopsida; Poales; Poaceae. The record is from RNAcentral.
AUGGCCGCCACUGACCCUUCCUACUACCAGAGUGGUGUUUGCCAAUCCAUCACACAGAAGCAGCAUCUCUUCCACUUAUACAUAAACCAGAUUGCCGAAGGAACCCCAAAUGCCAACCAAAAAGUCAUUGUGAAUCCAGGUCUUCCUAUGGAUUUUGGUGUAACCGUUGCAAAUGACUGGACCAUAAGCGAUGGUCCAGCCGCCAAUGCAAACCCUAUCGCACGUGCUCGUGGCAUGCACAUGGGUGAUGGUAAAGCCGACGUAAACUGGUUAUUCUGUCACAAUAUAUUGUUUACUGAUACCAGGUUUAAGGGGUCCAGCCUUAAGGUUCUUGGAGACUUUGUAGCCAACAAAGAUAGUGAAUGGGCAAUUGUAGGUGGAACUGGAGAAUUUGCAUAUGCACAAGGUGUUGUCGUCGCCAAAGUAAUCCAAAAUAUACAACCUACUCCCGGGCGUACUUGGGAGCUUCGUAUCAGUGCUUUCUGUCUGUGCAUCCCCAACGUGACCCCAGUGAACAAGAUGGGACCUUGGGGAGCAGACGGAGGGACAUCGUUUGACAUCACAGAGCUGCCUCGUUCUCUUCAAACCGUGACAAUUCGAUGUGGAGACGUGAUUAACUCAAUUGGGUUUUCGUACACUGAUCAAGCUGGUCAGAAGAAAAUUGCUGGACCGUGGGGUGGUGAUGGUGCACUUAGUGUGGCGAUCAAGCUUGCUCCUUCCGAGUUCAUAAAGCAAGUUCUUGGAACAACUGAUGCAGUUGGAGGAGUGACUGUUGUUACAUCACUUACUUUGGUCAGCAGCGUCACGACAUAUGGGCCUUUUGGAAAAGCAAAUGGCACUCCUUUUAGCAGCCAGGUUACAGAUAGUAACACUAUCGGGGGGUUCUAUGCGCGUGCUGGGGCGUCUGUUAAUUCACUUGGAGUCUAUGCGUGCCCAAUUUAG